CAUGUGGUUGCUGGGAAUUGAACUCAGGACCUCUGGAAGAGCAGCCAGUGCUCUUAACUGCAGACUGGAUGUGAAAUUUAUUACUGAACAAGGUUGGUGUCACCUAAAUGGGUUCCUGCAGCAAGGAAUUUAAGGACAUCUUUCUCCUUCAUCUGCAGGACAUCUAGGGCUCCGGACAUUGGUGAAGACUGUGUGACACCAGUGUGCUGUGUGGUUAGGGAGCGCAGGACCCACCAAUAGAAGGCUGAGGAGAAGCAACCAUGGACUGUGUGCAACUUCACCCACUAGUUUACUCCUCCACAGAUCCCACAGCCUGGAGCCCCAGCCCUUCUGACCACCUUCCAUGAGAAAGGAACGUGAAUCUUGAAGCCAGUGCUUGCCUGUUGAAGGCCAGUUCUCUAGAAUACUUGUGA
Molecule: non-coding RNA, 413 nt
Organism: Cricetulus griseus (Chinese hamster)
Lineage: Eukaryota; Metazoa; Chordata; Mammalia; Rodentia; Cricetidae
Source: RefSeq, a predicted model, not a curated record